This 460-nucleotide ribosomal RNA is filed under the name uncultured bacterium. RNAcentral's name for it is "partial 16S ribosomal RNA". It matches the Rfam family "Bacterial small subunit ribosomal RNA", at positions 338 to 795 of the family's 1533-position model. The record is from RNAcentral.
CCUACGGGUGGCAGCAGUGAGGAAUAUUGGUCAAUGGCCGGAAGGCUGAACCAGCCAAGCCGCGUGAGGGAGGAAGGCGCUGAGCGUCGCAGACUUCUUUUGCCGGGGGAUAACAGGCCGGACGGGUCGGGUUCUGAGGGUACCCGGAGAAAAAGCAUCGGCUAACUCCGUGCCAGCAGCCGCGGUAAUACGGAGGAUGCGAGCGUUAUCCGGAUUCAUUGGGUGUAAAGGGAGCGCAGGCGGCGCGUUAAGCCUGGUGUGAAAGCCCGCGGCCCAACCUCGGGACUGCAUUGGGAACUGGCGCGCUGGAGUGCCGGAGGGGUAGGCGGAAUUCCUAGUGUAGCGGUGAAAUGCGUAGAUAUUAGGAGGAACACCAGUGGCGAAGGCGGCCUACUGGACGGUGACUGACGCUGAGGCUCGAAAGCGUGGGGAGCAAACAGGAUUAGAUACCCUAGUAGUC